CGAGUUUGAUCCUGGCUCAGGAUGGACGCUAGCGGCAGGCCUAAUACAUGCAAGUCGGACGGGAUCCAUCGGAGAGCUUGCUCGAAGAUGGUGAGAGUGGCGCACGGGUGCGUAACGCGUGAGCAACCUACCUCUAUCAGGGGGAUAGCCUCUCGAAAGAGAGAUUAACACCGCAUAAUAUAAUUUCCCGGCAUCGAGGAAUUAUUAAAUAUUUAUAGGAUAGGGAUGGGCUCGCGUGACAUUAGCUAGUUGGUAGGGUAACGGCUUACCAAGGCGACGAUGUCUAGGGGCUCUGAGAGGAGAAUCCCCCACACUGGUACUGAGACACGGACCAGACUCCUACGGGAGGCAGCAGUAAGGAAUAUUGGUCAAUGGGCGGAAGCCUGAACCGGCCAUGCCGCGUGCAGGAUGACUGCCCUAUGGGUUGUAAACUGCUUUUGUCCAGGAAUAAACCUCUUUACGAGUAGAGAGCUGAAUGUACUGGAAGAAUAAGGAUCGGCUAACUCCGUGCCAGCAGCCGCGGUAAUACGGAGGAUCCGAGCGUUAUCCGGAUUUAUUGGGUUUAAAGGGUGCGUAGGCGGCCUAUUAAGUCAGGGGUGAAAUACG
RNAcentral lists this ribosomal RNA (606 nucleotides) under uncultured bacterium. RNAcentral describes it as "bacterial SSU rRNA". It matches the Rfam family "Bacterial small subunit ribosomal RNA", at positions 9 to 603 of the family's 1533-position model. The record is from RNAcentral.